CGGGAAAAAAGUAGGAAAAACGGGAAAAUUGGUAUAUUAAACAAAUAUUAUUAAAGAUAAUAUAUAAUGCCUAUCUAAUUAUUUUACCAUAAUAUGACAUAUAUAUACAUUGAUAACAAAGCAUCACUAUCAAAUGAACUCCGCUCAGAAUAGUUUUUUCGUUAGUAAUGGUUAAUCGUUGCUAAUAGAUAUACAUUAAAUUACCUAUAACCGUGGCUGCACCCGUUCUAAUUAUAUUAGGACGUCUUUUUUUAUACUUAGUAUGAAAAAA
Cinara cedri is the source of this 271-nucleotide non-coding RNA. Lineage: Eukaryota; Metazoa; Arthropoda; Insecta; Hemiptera; Aphididae. The record is from the annotation of a GenBank genome assembly.